UGAGUGCGAGCUGCUACGGCAGCGAAGUUGGUGACGUCAAGCUUCCAAGAAAAGCCCUAUACCCGUUAAGGCAUGAUUGCCUGUACCCGAAACCGACACAGGUGGGGUGGUAGAGAAUACCGAGGGGCGCGAGGUAACUCUCUCUAAGGAACUCGGCAAAAUGACCCCGUAACUUCGGGAGGAGGGGUGCCACCGCAAGGUGGUCGCAGUGAAUAGGCCCAGGCGACUGUUUACCAAAAACACAGGUCUCCGCUAAGUCGCAAGACGAUGUAUGGGGGCUGACGCCUGCCCAGUGCCGGAAGGUUAAGGAAGUUGGUCAGCGAAAGCGAAGCUAGCGACUGAAGCCCCGGCGAACGGCGGCCGUAACAAUAACGGUCCUAAGGUAGCGAAAUUCCUUGUCGGGUAAGUUCCGACCCGCACGAAAGGCGUAACGAUCUGGGCGCUGUCUCGGAGAGAGGCUCGGCGAAAUAGAAUUGUCUGUGAAGAUGCGGACUACGUGCACCUGGACAGAAAGACCCUAUGAAGCUUUACUGUAGCUUGGUAUUGUGUCCGGGCUCUGAAUGCGCAGGAUAGGUGGGAGGCUUUGAUCCAUUGCUUGCGGGUGAUGGUGAGCCAACGGUGAGAUACCACUCUUUCAGAGCUAGGAUUCUAACGGUCACCCGUCAUCCGGGGACCGGACAGUAUCUGGUGGGCAGUUUGACUGGGGCGGUCGCCACCUAAAAGGUAACGGAGGCGCGCAAAGGUCUGCUCAGGCUGGUUGGAAAUCAGCCGACGAGUGCAAAAGCAGAAGCAGGCUUGACUGUGAGACCUACAAGUCGAACAGGGGGGAAACCCGGCUUUAGUGAUCCGACGGUUCUGAGUGGAAGGGCCGUCGCUCAACGGAUAAAAGUUACUCUAAGGAUAACAGGCUGAUCUCCCCCAAGAGUUCACAUCGACGGGGAGGUUUGGCACCUCGAUGUCGGCUCAUCGCAACCUGGGGCUGAAGUCGGUCCCAAGGGUUGGGCUGUUCGCCCAUUAAAGCGGUACGCGAGCUGGGUUCAGAACGUCGUGAGACAGUUCGGUCCAUAUCCGGUGCAUGCGCAGGAAUAUUGAGAGGAUUUCUCCCUAGUACGAGAGGACCGGGAGGAACGCACCUCUGGUGUACCAGUUAUCGUGCCAACGGUAAACGCUGGGUAGCCAUGUGCGGAGUGGAUAACCGCUGAAAGCAUCUAAGUGGGAAGCCCACCUCAAGAUGAGUAUUCCCAUGGCGUUAGCCAGUAAGGUCACGGGCAGAACACCCGUUGAUAGGCUCUACGUGGAAGCGCAGUAAUGUGUGAAGCGGAGGAGUACUAAUAGACCGAGGGCUUGAC
RNAcentral lists this ribosomal RNA (1349 nucleotides) under metagenome. RNAcentral describes it as "bacterial LSU rRNA". It matches the Rfam family "Bacterial large subunit ribosomal RNA", at positions 1564 to 2925 of the family's 2925-position model. The record is from RNAcentral.